CCUACGUGAGGCAGCAGUGGGGAAUAUUGGACAAUGGGGGGAACCCUGAUCCAGCGACGCCGCGUGAGUGAAGAAGUAUUUCGGUAUGUAAAGCUCUAUCAGCAGGGAAGAAAGAAAUGACGGUACCUGACUAAGAAGCCCCGGCUAACUACGUGCCAGCAGCCGCGGUAAUACGUAGGGGGCAAGCGUUAUCCGGAUUUACUGGGUGUAAAGGGAGCGUAGACGGCGAUGCAAGUCUGAAGUGAAAGGCGGGGGCCCAACCCCCGGACUGCUUUGGAAACUGUAUGGCUGGAGUGCAGGAGAGGUAAGUGGAAUUCCUAGUGUAGCGGUGAAAUGCGUAGAUAGUAGGAGGAACACCAGUGGCGAAGGCGGCUUACUGGACUGUAACUGACGUUGAGGCUCGAAAGCGUGGGGAGCAAACAGGAUUAGAUACCCCUGUAGUC
This 443-nucleotide ribosomal RNA is filed under the name uncultured bacterium. RNAcentral describes it as "partial 16S ribosomal RNA". It matches the Rfam family "Bacterial small subunit ribosomal RNA", at positions 338 to 795 of the family's 1533-position model. The record is from RNAcentral.